AGUGGGGAAUUUUGGACAAUGGGCGCAAGCCUGAUCCAGCCAUGCCGCGUGCGGGAAGAAGGCCUUCGGGUUGUAAACCGCUUUUGGCAGGAACGAAACGGCGUCCCCUAAUACGGGGCGUUAAUGACGGUACCUGCAGAAUAAGCACCGGCUAACUACGUGCCAGCAGCCGCGGUAAUACGUAGGGUGCAAGCGUUAAUCGGAAUUACUGGGCGUAAAGCGUACGCAGGCGGCUAUGCAAGACAGAUGUGAAAUCCCCGGGCUUAACCUGGGAACUGCAUUUGUGACUGCAUGGCUAGAGUUUGUCAGAGGGGGGUGGAAUUCCACGUGUAGCAGUGAAAUGCGUAGAGAUGUGGAGGAACACCGAUGGCGAAGGCAGCCCCCUGGGACACGACUGACGCUCAUGUACGAAAGCGUGGGGAGCAAA
This 427-nucleotide ribosomal RNA is filed under the name uncultured Alcaligenaceae bacterium. RNAcentral describes it as "bacterial SSU rRNA". It matches the Rfam family "Bacterial small subunit ribosomal RNA", at positions 353 to 772 of the family's 1533-position model. Lineage: Bacteria; Pseudomonadati; Pseudomonadota; Betaproteobacteria; Burkholderiales; Alcaligenaceae. The record is from RNAcentral.